Molecule: unclassified non-coding RNA, 148 nt
Organism: Macaca fascicularis (crab-eating macaque)
Lineage: Eukaryota; Metazoa; Chordata; Mammalia; Primates; Cercopithecidae
Rfam family: Metazoan signal recognition particle RNA
About the family: The signal recognition particle (SRP) is a universally conserved ribonucleoprotein.
Source: Ensembl
GCUGGGCAUGAUGGUGCAUGCCUAUAGUCCUAGCUACCCAGGAGGCUGAGGCAGGGGCAUUGCUUGAGCCCAGGAGUUUGAAGCUGCAGUGAGCUAUGAUAGCACCACUGCACUUUAGCCAGGGCAACACAGUGAGACCCUGUCUCUA